Molecule: ribosomal RNA, 229 nt
Filed under: uncultured bacterium
Lineage: Bacteria
Description: partial 16S ribosomal RNA
Rfam family: Bacterial small subunit ribosomal RNA
Source: RNAcentral
UACGUAGGCGGAAAAUUAAGUCAGUAGUGAAAUCCUGCAGCUUAACUGUAGAACUGUUAUUGAUACUGGUUUUCUUGAAUAUAGUUGAGAUAGGCGGAAUGUGUAAUGUAGCGGUGAAAUGCUUAGAUAUUACACAGAACACCGAUUGCGAAGGCAGCUUACUAAGCUAUGAUUGACGCUGAGGUACGAAAGCGUGGGGAGCGAACAGGAUUAGAUACCCUGGUAGUCC